GCAGUGGGGAAUCUUGCACAAUGGGGGCAACCCUGAUGCAGCGACGCCGCGUGAGCGAUGAAGCCCUUCGGGGUGUAAAGCUCUUUCGUCAGGGAAGAUUAUGACGGUACCUGGAGAAGCAGCUGCGGCUAACUACGUGCCAGCAGCCGCGGUAAUACGUAGGCAGCGAGCGUUGUUCGGAGUUACUGGGCGUAAAGGGUGUGUAGGCGGUUGUUUAAGUUUGGUGUGAAAUCUCCCGGCUCAACUGGGAGGGUGCGCCGAAUACUGAAUGACUCGAGUGCGGGAGAGGAGAGUGGAAUUCCUGGUGUAGCGGUGAAAUGCGUAGAUAUCAGGAGGAACACCGGUGGUGUAGACGGCUUUCUGGACCGUAACUGACGCUGAGACACGAAAGCGUGGGUAGCAAACAGGAUUAGAUACCCU
RNAcentral lists this ribosomal RNA (420 nucleotides) under Klebsiella pneumoniae. Its description in RNAcentral is "bacterial SSU rRNA". It matches the Rfam family "Bacterial small subunit ribosomal RNA", at positions 351 to 788 of the family's 1533-position model. The record is from RNAcentral. Lineage: Bacteria; Pseudomonadati; Pseudomonadota; Gammaproteobacteria; Enterobacterales; Enterobacteriaceae.